Molecule: ribosomal RNA, 253 nt
Filed under: uncultured bacterium
Lineage: Bacteria
Description: partial 16S ribosomal RNA
Rfam family: Bacterial small subunit ribosomal RNA
Source: RNAcentral
UACGUAGGGUGCAAGCGUUGUCCGGAAUUAUUGGGCGUAAAGAGCUCGUAGGCGGUCUGUCACGUCGGCUGUGAAAACCUGGGGCUCAACUCCGGGCCUGCAGCCGAUACGGGCAGACUAGAGUUCGGCAGGGGAGACUGGAAUUCCUGGUGUAGCGGUGAAAUGCGCAGAUAUCAGGAGGAACACCGGUGGCGAAGGCGGCCCGCUGGGCAGAGACUGACGCUGAGGCGCGACAGCGUGGGGAGCAAACAGG